GGCUCUUUGAUUAAAUAUAAUAAAGAGUCGGACCUGCCCAGUGAAAUAUUUUAACGGCCGCGGUACUCUGACCGUGCAAAGGUAGCAUAAUCAUUUGCCCUAUAAUUGGGGGCUGGUAUGAAUGGUUUGACAAGAGCAAUUCUGUCUCUAUAUAAUUUUAUAAAAUUUAAUUUUCAGCUGAAGAAGCCUGAAUUUAAUUAAAAGACAAGAAGACCCUAUCGAGCUUUAAAACAGUUAAAAGAUAUUAAGUGUAUUUAUAUAACUACAACUUUUAAAAAUUUUGGUUGGGGCGACCUAGGAACAAAUAAAGCUUCUUUUUGUAAAAAAAUACACAUAUUUUGAUCCAAAAAUUUUGAUUGAAGAAAUUAGUUACCGUAGGGAUAACAGCAUAAUCUUUUUUGAGAGCUCUUAUCGAAAAAAAGGCUUGUGACCUCGAUGUUGGACCAAAAUAUCCCAAAGAUGCAACCGUCUUUAAGGGUUGGUCUGUUCGACCAUUAAAAUUUUACGUGAUCUGAGUUCAGACCG
Molecule: ribosomal RNA, 525 nt
Filed under: Capulus ungaricus
Lineage: Eukaryota; Metazoa; Mollusca; Gastropoda; Littorinimorpha; Capulidae
Description: partial large subunit ribosomal RNA
Rfam family: Bacterial large subunit ribosomal RNA
Source: RNAcentral